This 304-nucleotide ribosomal RNA is filed under the name uncultured bacterium. Its description in RNAcentral is "bacterial SSU rRNA". It matches the Rfam family "Bacterial small subunit ribosomal RNA", at positions 28 to 334 of the family's 1533-position model. The record is from RNAcentral.
GAUGAACGCUGGCGGCGUGCCUAACACAUGCAAGUCGAGCGGAAACGAUGGGAGCUUGCUCCCAGGCGUCGAGCGGCGGACGGGUGAGUAAUACUUAGGAAUCUGCCCAGUAGUGGGGGAUAGCUCGGGGAAACUCGAAUUAAUACCGCAUACACCCUACGGGGAAAAGGGGGCGCUUGCGCUCUCGCUAUUGGAUGAGCCUAAGUCGGAUUAGCUAGUUGGUGGGGUAAAGGCCUACCAAGGCGACGAUCUGUAGCUGGUCUGAGAGGAUGAUCAGCCACACCGGGACUGAGACACGGCCCGG